This 497-nucleotide ribosomal RNA is filed under the name uncultured bacterium. RNAcentral's name for it is "partial 16S ribosomal RNA". It matches the Rfam family "Bacterial small subunit ribosomal RNA", at positions 28 to 507 of the family's 1533-position model. The record is from RNAcentral.
GAUGAACGCUGGCUGCGUUCCUAAUACUUGCAAGUCGCGCGAACGUACGAUAAUUUUUCUUCUCUGAUGUUAGCGUCGUCCGUGUUAGUAACACUUGGAUAACCUACCUAUACUACUGUGAUAACUUCGGCUAACCGUAGCUAAUUCCGGGUAUUAUUUUCAUCCGCAUGUUCCACAAGUCAUAGACUUUCUUUCUGUCCCUUAUACUUUGAUCCGUGCUGUAUUAGCUAGUUGGUAAGGUAACGUCUUACCAAGGCUACGAUGCAUAACCGACCUGAGAGGGUGAUCGGCGACACUGGAACUGAGACACGGUCAAGACUCCUACGGGAGGCAGCAGUAGGGAAUCUACCGCAAUGGGCGAAAGCCUGACAGAGCAAAGCCGCGUGAGUGAUGAAGGUCUUCGGAUCGUAAAACUCUGUUAAUAGGGAAGAACAUAUGUGUAAGUAACUGUGCACAGCGUGACGGUACCUAAUCAGAAAGCCACGGAUAACUACGUG